Sus scrofa (pig) is the source of this 1099-nucleotide non-coding RNA. The record is from RefSeq and is a predicted model, not a curated record. NCBI's taxonomy places the organism in Eukaryota, Metazoa, Chordata, Mammalia, Artiodactyla, Suidae.
AAAUGUGGCGCAUCUAGGAUCCUCUUCACUUUGUGCAGAAGCAAAGGGGGGAUUUGGGGCUCUGGAAAUGCAAUGUCGGAUCUCAGCAGUGGUUAUGAACCUUCUUAGAUGGGGGGCAGGUUCAGGUCGCAGCUCCUAGGGGUCAAGAGUUGGGGAGAAGCUGAAUGUUAUUUUGAGGCUGCCAGAAGGAUCUGCAGGCAGGUUAUCACAAGAUCUUGGAUAUAGUUCCUUGUCCUGUGCAAAGUCCAGAAUAACAGCUCCCCCCACCGCCGCCGCCCCCCAACCCCCGAGGUGAAAGAAUAAAAGACACCAAUCUUCGGUGUGGUCUUGGUCAUGCCCUGCACGUAAUUACAAACCCAGCUGGUGAAAGGAAAGAAGAUGAAGACGUGUAAGCUGGACACUGGGCUCGUUGCCACAAAGAGCAUUGCUGCUGGGCUGCAGCCUCUGUGAACAGGUCACAGUGUCGCCGAGAUAAUAAUCCCCUCCGCUCAGGGCCACCGAACAGGCCUGGGGCAGCCGGAUUCCCUUGGUGGUGGCCUCAGGCCAUGAGCGACUGCAUCCUUGCUCCAGAGUGAUGCUGAAAUAUGGUCAUUUCACUGUGUACUAGGCAGUGAACCAAGUUGGAAGAACUUAGAAUAGAAGGCUUCUUUCUGGGAAUACCUGGGUGGUGGGAGUAGGGGUGUUGCAGAUGUAUUUAUUUCUACAGUGGGUUGGAUUUUGUCCCCUGUACCCUCACCCCACCCCAGAGAUCUGUCCUCUUCUAACCCCUGGGACCUAUGAGUGUGGCCUUCUUUGAAAAUCAAGUCUUCGCAGAUGUAAUUAAGUUAUGGAUCUUGAGAGGAGAUUGUCCAGGAUUUAGGGUGGACCCUAAAAGAAAGGAAAAGGUGACUUGACACAAACAGGGAGGAAGUCCAGGUGAAAACAGAGGCAGAGAUUGAAGUUAAGUGGCCACAAGGCAAGGAACACCAGGAACCACCAGCUGCUGGAAGAGGCAAGAAGAGAUUCUCCCCUAGAGCCUUUGGAGGAUGUGUGACCUUGCCAUGACCUUGAUUUUGGAGAUCUGGCCUCCAGAACUGGGAAAGAAUAAAUCAUUGUUGUU